RNAcentral lists this ribosomal RNA (312 nucleotides) under uncultured bacterium. RNAcentral's name for it is "bacterial SSU rRNA". It matches the Rfam family "Bacterial small subunit ribosomal RNA", at positions 30 to 334 of the family's 1533-position model. The record is from RNAcentral.
AUUGAACGCUGGCGGCACGCUUAACACAUGCAAGUCGAACGGCAGCAUUAUAAGAGCUUGCUCUUAUAGAUGGCGAGUGGCGAACGGGUGAGUAACGCGUAGGAAUAUACCUUAAAGUGGGGGAUAACCCGGGGAAACCCGAGCUAAUACCGCGUAAGCUCUACGGAGUAAAGCUGGGGACCUUAUGGCCUGGCGCUUUAAGAAUAGCCUGCGUCUGAUUAGCUAGUUGGUGGGGUAAAGGCCUACCAAGGCGAUGAUCGGUAGCUGGUCUGAGAGGAUGGACAGCCACACUGGGACUGAGACACGGCCCAG